Long non-coding RNA from Amphiprion ocellaris (clown anemonefish), 3157 nucleotides. RefSeq lists it as uncharacterized. The record is from RefSeq and is a predicted model, not a curated record. The transcript is spliced from 4 exons. NCBI's taxonomy places the organism in Eukaryota, Metazoa, Chordata, Actinopteri, Pomacentridae.
UUGCUGGAGACGACACGAACAAGUAUUAGUGAGAACAGAGUUGCAGCAGAGGAAACGGAGCUCUAUCGCAGCAGAUGAUCACAUAAUACUAGCACCCUGAAACUGAAGCACCAAAAUGGAACUGGUUACUUGUAAGGUUCUGUCAGAGUAAACUGGACCAACAACCAUCAGCUCAGCAGUUCUCACCCUGAUGUAAAAGUCUCCGUUAUCGUCACCAGAGCGAAUGCGGAAGGUGUUGUAAGCCCCCGCCGAGACGCUGGUGGCCUGAAUCUGGAAGAUGUCGGAGGGGACGGAACGCUCCGAGGUGAUGCUCAUGUAGCGGUGGACGAUGGAGAAGGGCAGAUCUCGACAGGCCGGCUUGUUGACGGGACAUACACAGCGGCUGGAUGCACACAAAGACAAGGAGACAGAGUGAGGAAAAUCAGAGCAUUGUACUGUCUCAUAGUGAUGUUUGGUGCAGGAAACCAUCAACAGCAGUUCAUAACUCAGCCAGCAGGUGGAGUAGUAUGACUGAGAGGAGCCUUCUAAAAUCUAAACGCUUAUUGAACGGUAGCCAUCUUCCCUCAUGUUGGUCUAAAACACAUUUUAUACCACCAAAUCAUCUGGGACAUGUCAAUAGCGACCCACACCUGUUACCAAGCCAGCACUUGUUCACACAGCUGUAAUAGUUUUCUUACUGCACCGGAGCACGUUCAAAAGAAAGUUUUGCAAAGUUGGAUUCAUAUGUGGAAAAAGUAAUUGGGGCAAUCUUGCAGUCUGAGCCACACUCAGCACAGGGGCUGAUUAUAUUCUGCGCUGAUGGCCAACACAUAUUUGCGUAAUUGGGAAAAGGUGUGUCCAAGUGUGUGUUUGUGGUUGAAGCUUUCACGAGGUGUCACUCACUUCUCAGAGACUUGUACGUAGGGGUCUUGGCAGCGGUUGUUGUCCACACACUGGUAUCGUCCGUGGAUAUUCACACAGGUCUGCGCCUCCGUGCACUGGUGUUUGCCGGUUUCACAUUCGUUUAUAUCUGCAGAGGACAAGCAGCUCGAGAUGUUUGACUGAACACAAUAAGACGGAGCUGCUGUCUAAGAAUGAUCCGAUUCAGUGCGGCAUUUGUGACUCUGGGAGCAAAGAGGGGAAGGUGUUCUUACCCUGGCACAUUCUGGUGCCCAGCAGCUGGUAUCCUUCUGGGCACACGCAGGAGAACUUCCCUGGUUCGUUGACACACUGGAACUGGCACAGGUAGCUGGAGUAGCUGCACUCAUCGAUGUCUGAGAAGUUGUAAGUUCAGGGUAUGUUAACUGUCUGAGAGCAAAGAGGAGGAGAAAGCAGCAGGAGAGUGUGUACUAUCACACUUCUUACCGUUACAAGCGAAGCCGUCGGGCCCGAGCUCGUAGCCCUGAUCACAGCGACAAAGGAAGGUGCCGUAAGUGUUGUAGCACCUCUGAGAGCAGGGGGCACCCAUCUCACAUUCAUUCACAUCUGAAAGCAGGAAGGGUAGAUUUCACAGAACAUCGUAGUUAUAAACUUUAAAUGCUUCAUAAGUGACCACAGAGUCCAAAAAGCUUUUAUAGGUUCUGGAUCAAAUAUUAAAACUGAAGGCAGAAAUCCGAAUGAUAGCCCCAAUGAAUGUAAAGUCUGUGAAAACAUAUUUUCUCAAUCAUCUACGAGUGAAGAGGUCCAACAUGAACACAAUUUUCUGCCAAAGCUGAAACAGUUUUGUUACACUUAUUUAAAUUAAGAUGAGCUUUGCUGAAAAAGGUGACGUCACAAACUGCACAUCUGUGCACAAAUUAGGCUUCAAUUAAAUCACAUCAAAUCAAACCAAUAUGUGCUUGAAGCAGAUGAGGUUUUCAUUGUUAAACCCUGAAAUAAAUAAUAACAAUAAUAAUAAAUAACUCUCAGCUUUAAUCAUUACCUGUUUCAACAUGAAUUGUUAUUCUUACACAGUAACAUUUAAUACGUUUUCAGGGUCUUAAUGUUUGUCAGGUGUUUGAUAAAAGAGAGAUCUUCGUAAGAGCAAACAGUGCAGUUCAUCUGUGUGAGCAGCUGUUGUAUUUAUGCUAAAUUUGGACGUAGUCUGACUUUAAAUGACUAUUUCUACUUAUAUCCACAACAUUUUAGAGGGAAAUAUUGUGCCUAGUGUAGUACAGAAUCUUGUAAACCAUAUUUAUUUUACAUUUGCAGUUAACUACAGUGUACAACAUCGUUACGAUUUCACAACCGAAAUAUAUAAUCAGCGGAAACAAAGUCAUUUGACAUAAAAGUGAUCAGCAAUAAUCUUGAUAUUAAAUGAAAUUUAAUGAAAAGUGAUUUUUCAAGCAAAAAUUCAAUACAGUUUCUCCAGUUUCUGACAUGAAGAUCAUUAUAACCUCGAGAUAAUUGAUCAUUUAAAGAAUAAACUCAUAAAUAGAUUACACUGUUUGUUGCAUCCCUAGUUAAGUCUAUAAAACUAGCAUAUAAAAGAAUGAUAGGGCAGAGUUAUAUCUGUAUACAAAACACACAAUUGUCCUUUAUAUCUCAUUAACUGGUCCACAGAAAUGUGUCUGACGUGAUUAUUUUGAUUAUACAUCAGCAAUAAUAAUACUAUUAUGUAACCUGUAACAGCAUGACUGAUGGGCCAUUUGUUUCACUUCUGAUAUUUUAUGUACAUUUUGCAGUUAAUACUUUUAUGUAAGCAAGAUUAUGAAUGCAGUAUGUUUAUUCGUAGUGGACUUUUACACUGUUGUACUGUUACAUUUAUUAAGCAAAUGCUCUUAAAACUCACCAAUGCAGGAUCGGUUGUUUCCUGCCAGCUGGAAACCAGGUUCACACUGACAGGAGAAGGAACCAGGGACGUUGACACAGCGAUGCUGGCAGUACCUGUACCUGCACUCAUCGAUGUCUGACGGCCAGAAGAAGAGUCAGAGGAAGGACAUUCACAUUCCUACAGCCAGAGCCAAGAAGCAAACUACACAGCCACGUUAUCUUGGCUCUUCUAAGAAGCCAAGUGCAGCUGGGAGAGCGGAGCAGUGAGCGGAGCAGCGGUGCAGCUGUGACGUGUAUGGCCUGUAGCAGAAAAGUGGAUAAUGGAGCUCCUCCAUCCACAGACCUCUCCUGGUGAAGGCUACGAUCUGCACUUACCCUUGUCAGACAGCCUGUGCAAACCAAAAACAUCCAAGACCCUGUUCCCUCG